GAUGAAGAACGCAGCGAAAUGCGAUACUUGGUGUGAAUUGCAGAAUCCCGUGAACCAUCGAGUCUUUGAACGCAAGUUGCGCCCGAAGCCACUAGGCCGAGGGCACGCCUGCCUGGGCGUCACACGUCGUUGCCCCCCCAUCUACUCCUUCGGGAUUGCGGGGGGGCGGAUGAUGGCCUCCCGUGCGCCUAGCCGCGCGGUUGGCAUAAAUACCAAGUCCUCGGCGACGCACGCCACGACAAUCGGUGGUUGCGAAACCUCGGUUGCCCGUCGUGUGCGUUCGUCGCGCAUCGAGGGCUCGAAAAAAUGCUCGGCUCCGGCUGGGCUUUCAACGCGACCCCAGGUCAGGCGGGGUUACCCGCUGAAUUUAAGCAUAUCAUAAGCGGAGGA
RNAcentral lists this unclassified non-coding RNA (390 nucleotides) under soil metagenome. RNAcentral's name for it is "partial contains 5.8S ribosomal RNA, internal transcribed spacer 2, and large subunit ribosomal RNA". The stretch from base 1 to 122 matches the Rfam family "5.8S ribosomal RNA", at positions 35 to 154 of the family's 154-position model. The record is from RNAcentral.